GUUGGGGAGUCGAAUUUAGCCAUGCUAGUUGUACGAGUUGAGACUCGUAGCAGAUAGCUCAGUAACACGUGGCCAAACUACCCUAUCGAGCACGAUACUCUCGGGAAACUGAGGCUAAUAGUGCAUACGACUCGGUGUCUGGAGUGACGCGAGUCAGAAACGCUCAGGCGCGAUAGGAUGUGGCUGCGGCCGAUUAGGUAGACGGUGGGGUAACGGCCCACCGUGCCAAUAAUCGGUACGGGUUGUGAGAGCAAGAGCCCGGAGACGGUAUCUGAGACAAGAUACCGGGCCCUACGGGGCGCAGCAGGCGCGAAACCUUUACACUGCACGCGAGUGCGAUAAGGGGACUCCAAGUGCGAGGGCAUAUAGUCCUCGCUUUUUCCGACCGUAGGAUGGUCGGCGAAUAAGUGCUGGGCAAGACCGGUGCCAGCCGCCGCGGUAAUACCGGCAGCACGAGUGAUGACCGCUAUUAUUGGGCCUAAAGCGUCCGUAGCUGGCCACGCAAGUCCAUCGGGAAAUCUCUCCGCUCAACGGAGAGGCGUCCGGUGGAAACUGUGUGGCUUGGGACCGGAAGAUCCAGAGGGUACGUCUGGGGUAGGAGUGAAAUCCCGUAAUCCGAGACGGACCACCGGUGGCGAAAGCGCUCUGGAAAGACGGAUC
Molecule: ribosomal RNA, 660 nt
Filed under: Halostagnicola larsenii
Lineage: Archaea; Methanobacteriati; Methanobacteriota; Halobacteria; Halobacteriales; Natrialbaceae
Description: bacterial SSU rRNA
Rfam family: Archaeal small subunit ribosomal RNA
Source: RNAcentral